RNAcentral lists this ribosomal RNA (253 nucleotides) under uncultured bacterium. RNAcentral's name for it is "partial 16S ribosomal RNA". It matches the Rfam family "Bacterial small subunit ribosomal RNA", at positions 524 to 776 of the family's 1533-position model. The record is from RNAcentral.
UACGAAGGGGGCUAGCGUUGUUCGGAAUUACUGGGCGUAAAGGGCGCGUAGGCGGCGACUCAAGUUAGAUGUGAAAGUCCUGGGCUUAACCUGGGGACUGCAUUUGAUACUGGGUUGCUUGAAUUCGGGAGAGGAUAGCGGAAUUCCCAGUGUAGAGGUGAAAUUCGUAGAUAUUGGGAAGAACACCGGUGGCGAAGGCGGCUAUCUGGACCGACAUUGACGCUGAGGCGCGAAAGCGUGGGGAGCAAACAGG